Molecule: microRNA precursor, 203 nt
Filed under: Oryza sativa Indica Group (long-grained rice)
Lineage: Eukaryota; Viridiplantae; Streptophyta; Magnoliopsida; Poales; Poaceae
Description: MIR812 microRNA precursor family
Rfam family: MIR812 microRNA precursor family
Source: Rfam by way of RNAcentral
UAUAAGGGAUUUUGAGUUUUUGCUUGCAACGUUUGACCACUCGUCUUAUUCAAAAUUUUUUGAAAUUAUUAAUUAUUUUAUUUGUGACUUACUUUAUUAUCUACAAUACUGUUAAGUAUAACUUUUCGUUUUUAUAUUUACAAAAAAAAUUUAAAUAAGACAAGUGGUCAAACGUUGCAAGCAAAAACUGAAAAUCCCUUAUA